RNAcentral lists this ribosomal RNA (431 nucleotides) under uncultured bacterium. RNAcentral describes it as "partial 16S ribosomal RNA". It matches the Rfam family "Bacterial small subunit ribosomal RNA", at positions 29 to 505 of the family's 1533-position model. The record is from RNAcentral.
AGCGAACGCUGGCGGCAGGCCUAACACAUGCAAGUCGAACGAACUCUUCGGAGUUAGUGGCGGACGGGUGAGUAACACGUGGGAACGUGCCUUUAGGUUCGGAAUAACUCAGGGAAACUUGUGCUAAUACCGAAUGUGCCCUUCGGGGGAAAGAUUUAUCGCCUUUAGAGCGGCCCGCGUCUGAUUAGCUAGUUGGUGAGGUAAAGGCUCACCAAGGCGACGAUCAGUAGCUGGUCUGAGAGGAUGAUCAGCCACAUUGGGACUGAGACACGGCCCAAACUCCUACGGAAGGCAGCAGUGGGGAAUCUAGCACAAUGGGCGAAAGCCUGACACAGCCAUGCCGCGUAAAUGAUGAUGAUCUUAGGAGUGUAAAAUUCUUUCUCCAGAGACGCUAAUGAUUGUGCCCGUAGAAGAAUCCCCGCCUAACUUCG